AAGUCUUAACAAGGUUUCCGUAGGUGAACCUGCGGAAGGAUCAUUAUUGAAAUAAACCUGAUGAGUUGUUGCUGGCUCUCUAGGGAGCAUGUGCACGCUUGUCGUUUUUAUAUCUCCACCUGUGCACCUUUUGUAGACCUGGAUACCUUUCUAAAUGCACUCGCGUUUAGGUAUGAGGAUUGACCUUUGUGGUCUAUCUUCACAUUUCCAGGCCUAUGUUUCUUCAUAUACCCUAUUGUAUGUUAUAGAAUGUAAUAAAUGGCCUUUGUGCCUAUAAACUUAUACAACUUUCAGCAACGGAUCUCUUGGCUCUC
RNAcentral lists this unclassified non-coding RNA (314 nucleotides) under air metagenome. RNAcentral's name for it is "partial contains small subunit ribosomal RNA, internal transcribed spacer 1, and 5.8S ribosomal RNA". The stretch from base 1 to 46 matches the Rfam family "Eukaryotic small subunit ribosomal RNA", at positions 1786 to 1831 of the family's 1831-position model. The record is from RNAcentral.